Molecule: ribosomal RNA, 427 nt
Filed under: uncultured bacterium
Lineage: Bacteria
Description: partial 16S ribosomal RNA
Rfam family: Bacterial small subunit ribosomal RNA
Source: RNAcentral
UGGGGAAUAUUGGACAAUGGGGGCAACCCUGAUCCAGCCAUGCCGCGUGUGUGAAGAAGGCCUUUUGGUUGUAAAGCACUUUAAGCAGUGAAGAAGACUCCAUGGUUAAUACCCAUGGACGAUGACAUUAGCUGCAGAAUAAGCACCGGCUAACUCUGUGCCAGCAGCCGCGGUAAUACAGAGGGUGCAAGCGUUAAUCGGAAUUACUGGGCGUAAAGCGAGCGUAGGUGGCUUGAUAAGUCAGAUGUGAAAGCCCCGGGCUUAACCUGGGAACGGCAUCUGAUGCUGUUAGGCUAGAGUAGGUGAGAGGAAGGUAGAAUUCCAGGUGUAGCGGUGAAAUGCGUAGAGAUCUGGAGGAAUACCGAUGGCGAAGGCGGCCAUCUGGCAACAUACUGACACUGAGGUUCGAAAGCGUGGGUGGCAAACA